GAUGAACGCUGGCGGCGUGCCUAAUACAUGCAAGUCGAACGCACAGCGAAAGGUGCUUGCACCUUUCAAGUGAGUGGCGAACGGGUGAGUAACACGUGGACAACCUGCCUCAAGGCUGGGGAUAACAUUUGGAAACAGAUGCUAAUACCGAAUGAAACUUAGUGUCGCAUGAUACGAAGUUAAAAGGCGCUUUGGCGUCACCUAGAGAUGGAUCCGCGGUGCAUUAGUUAGUUGGUGGGGUAAAGGCCUACCAAGACAAUGCUGCAUAGCCGAGUUGAGAGACUGAUCGGCCACAUUGGGACUGAGACACGGCCCAAACUCCUACGGGAGGCUGCAGUAGGGAAUCUUCCACAAUGGGCGAAAGCCUGAUGGAGCAACGCCGCGUGUGUGAUGAAGGCUUUCGGGUCGUAAAGCACUGUUGUAUGGGAAGAACAGCUAGAAUAGGGAAUGAUCUUAGUUUGACGGUACCAUACCAGAAAGGGACGGCUAAAUACGUGCCAGCAGCCGCGGUAA
This 513-nucleotide ribosomal RNA is filed under the name uncultured bacterium. RNAcentral describes it as "partial 16S ribosomal RNA". It matches the Rfam family "Bacterial small subunit ribosomal RNA", at positions 28 to 523 of the family's 1533-position model. The record is from RNAcentral.